This 206-nucleotide ribosomal RNA is filed under the name uncultured Prevotella sp. RNAcentral describes it as "partial 16S ribosomal RNA". It matches the Rfam family "Bacterial small subunit ribosomal RNA", at positions 152 to 355 of the family's 1533-position model. The record is from RNAcentral. Lineage: Bacteria; Pseudomonadati; Bacteroidota; Bacteroidia; Bacteroidales; Prevotellaceae.
CGAAAGUCGGCCUAAUACCUCAUGGCAUCGUCUGCGGGCAUCCAAUGACGAUUAAAGAUUUCAUCGGUCAGGGAGUGGGGAUGCGUCUGAUUAGCUAGUUGGCGGGGUAACGGCCCACCAAGGCUACGAUCAGUAGGGGUUCUGAGAGGAAGGUCCCCCACAUUGGAACUGAGACACGGUCCAAACUCCUACGGGAGGCAGCAGCU